GAUGAACGCUGGCGGCGUGCCUAAUACAUGCAAGUCGAGCGAACAGACGAGGAGCUUGCUCCACUGACGUUAGCGGCGGACGGGUGAGUAACACGUGGAUAACCUACCUAUAAGACUGGGAUAACUUCGGGAAACCGGAGCUAAUACCGGAUAAUAUAUUGAACCGCAUGGUUCAAUAGUGAAAGACGGUUUUGCUGUCACUUAUAGAUGGAUCCGCGCCGCAUUAGCUAGUUGGUAAGGUAACGGCUUACCAAGGCAACGAUGCGUAGCCGACCUGAGAGGGUGAUCGGCCACACUGGAACUGAGACACGGUCCAGACUCCUACGGGAGGCAGCAGUAGGGAAUCUUCCGCAAUGGGCGAAAGCCUGACGGAGCAACGCCGCGGGAGUGAUGAAGGUCUUCGGAUCUUAAAACUCUGUUAUUAGGGAAGAACAAAUGUGUAAGUAACUAUGCACGUCUUGACGGUACCUAAUCAGAAAGCCACGGCUAACUACGUG
RNAcentral lists this ribosomal RNA (497 nucleotides) under uncultured bacterium. RNAcentral describes it as "partial 16S ribosomal RNA". It matches the Rfam family "Bacterial small subunit ribosomal RNA", at positions 28 to 507 of the family's 1533-position model. The record is from RNAcentral.